Molecule: ribosomal RNA, 423 nt
Filed under: uncultured bacterium
Lineage: Bacteria
Description: bacterial SSU rRNA
Rfam family: Bacterial small subunit ribosomal RNA
Source: RNAcentral
GGAAUUGUUCGCAAUGGGCGCAAGCCUGACGACGCAACGCCGCGUGGAGGAUGAAGGGCUACGGCUCGUAAACUCCUUUCGACCGAGAUGAAUACCCGCAGGGCCAAUAACCUUGCGGACUGACAGUAACGAGGGAAGAAGCCCCGGCUAACUCCCGGCCAUCAGCCGCGGUAAUACGGUGGGGGCAAGCGUUGUUCGGAAUUACUGGGCGUAAAGGGUUCGUAGGUGGUCAACUAAGUCAGACGUGAAAUCCCUCAGCUUAACUGGGGAACUGCGUCUGAUACUGGUUGACUUGAGUGCAGGAGAGGAACGCGGAAUUCCAGGUGUAGCGGUGAAAUGCGUAGAUAUCUGGAGGAACACCGGUGGCGAAGGCGGCGUUCUGGACUGUAACUGACACUGAGGAACGAAAGCCAGGGGAGCAAA